AAAAUCCGCCGACUUUAUAAAUCGUGA
This 27-nucleotide transfer RNA is filed under the name Protea foliosa. Its description in RNAcentral is "partial transfer RNA-Leu". The record is from RNAcentral. Lineage: Eukaryota; Viridiplantae; Streptophyta; Magnoliopsida; Proteales; Proteaceae.